CGGCAAUAGCUCAAAUUUGAAAGCUGCCAACCGGCCGCAUUGUAAUUUGUAGAAGAUGCUUUGGGUGCCGGCCUUGUCUAAGUUCCUUGGAACAGGACGUCAUAGAGGGUGAGAAUCCCGUAUGUGAUUAGGCCUAAUCCCGUGUAAAGCUCUUUCGAC
Molecule: ribosomal RNA, 159 nt
Filed under: Strossmayeria sp.
Lineage: Eukaryota; Fungi; Ascomycota; Leotiomycetes; Helotiales
Description: partial large subunit ribosomal RNA
Rfam family: Eukaryotic large subunit ribosomal RNA
Source: RNAcentral